RNAcentral lists this ribosomal RNA (465 nucleotides) under uncultured bacterium. Its description in RNAcentral is "partial 16S ribosomal RNA". It matches the Rfam family "Bacterial small subunit ribosomal RNA", at positions 28 to 507 of the family's 1533-position model. The record is from RNAcentral.
GACGAACGCUGGCGGCGUGCUUAACACAUGCAAGUCGAACGGUAAGGCCCUUUCGGGGGUACCCGCGUGGCGAACGGGUGAGUAACACGGGAGUAACCUGCCCCCAACUUUUGGAUAACGCUAGGAAACUGGAGCUAAUACAGAAUAUAUGGUCCUUCUGCAUGGAGGGGGUUGGAAAGCUCCGGCGGGUGUGGAUGGACUCGCGGCCUCUUAGCUUGUUGGUGGGGGAGUGGCCUACCGAGGCGGCGACGGGUAGCCGGACCGAGCGGGUGACCGGCCACAGUGGGACUGAGAUUCGGCCCCGACUCCUACGGGUGGCAGCAGUGGGGAAUAGUGCUCAAGGGGCGCGAGCCUGAUGCAGCAACGCCGCGGGCGGGAUGACGGCCUUCGGGUUGGAAACCGCUUUCAGCAUGGACGAAGCUUUUUGUGACGGUACCUGCAGAAGAAGCACCGGCUAACUACGUG